UCCCUGGACGACUAGUUCUGAGGCCACAGUGCUCUCACCGCCGCGGCCCGGGUUCGAUUCCCAGCCAGGGAA
Molecule: non-coding RNA, 72 nt
Organism: Pangasius djambal
Lineage: Eukaryota; Metazoa; Chordata; Actinopteri; Siluriformes; Pangasiidae
Source: the annotation of a GenBank genome assembly